ACGGCUACCUUGUUACGACUUAGCCCCAGUCACCAGUUUUACCCUAGGGCGCUCCUUGCGGUUACGCACUUCAGGUACCCCCGGCUCCCAUGGCUUGACGGGCGGUGUGUACAAGGCCCGGGAACGUAUUCACCGCGCCGUGGCUGAUGCGCGAUUACUAGCGAAUCCAGCUUCAUGAAGUCGGGUUGCAGACUUCAAUCCGAACUGAGAGAGGUUUUUGGGAUUGGCAUCCACUUGCGUGGUAGCAGCCCUCUGUACCCCCCAUUGUAACACGUGUGUAGCCCCGGACGUAAGGGCCGUGCUGAUUUGACGUCAUCCCCACCUUCCUCACAUCUUACGAUGGCAGUCCCGACAGAGUCCUCAGCAUAACCUGUUAGUAACUAUCGGCAAGGGUUGCGCUCGUUAUGGCACUUAAGCCGACACCUCACGGCACGAGCUGACGACAACCAUGCAGCACCUUCACAACCGCUAUUGCUAGCUAUGGCGUUUCCGCCAUAUUCGGUUGCAAUUUAAGCCCGGGUAAGGUUCCUCGCGUAUCAUCGAAUUAAACCACAUGUUCCUCCGCUUGUGCGGGCCCCCGUCAAUUCCUUUGAGUUUCACCGUUGCCGGCGUA
Molecule: ribosomal RNA, 613 nt
Filed under: uncultured bacterium
Lineage: Bacteria
Description: partial 16S ribosomal RNA
Source: RNAcentral